This is a long non-coding RNA of Odontomachus brunneus, 240 nucleotides long. RefSeq lists it as uncharacterized. Lineage: Eukaryota; Metazoa; Arthropoda; Insecta; Hymenoptera; Formicidae. The record is from RefSeq and is a predicted model, not a curated record. The transcript is spliced from 3 exons.
GAGCAGUCACGCAGCUCUAGGGCAUGCGAUAGCUGGGGGAUACCGCGUCAAAGAAUUCGGUUCGGAUCUGUCUGAGUUGGCUUGAAGAGACAAGCACUCGACUCUAAGAGGAUGCUACACCGGAGGAUUCGGCUCGAGCCUGGCAGAGUUGACGCGAAGAGGCGAAAUAGGCGACUAGCCGAUUCUUAGGGGCUGUUGUGCCGGAGGAUCUGGCUCGGGCCGAAUGGGGUUAGCUCGAAG